Long non-coding RNA from Homarus americanus (American lobster), 599 nucleotides. RefSeq lists it as uncharacterized. The record is from RefSeq and is a predicted model, not a curated record. The transcript is spliced from 3 exons. Lineage: Eukaryota; Metazoa; Arthropoda; Malacostraca; Decapoda; Nephropidae.
UGAAGGGGGAAGGUAGUGUAGCUGUUCUCUGUGUCUCAGUGCCAACAGCUUUUUGAUAUCUAUCUUGUAUAUCGUUACUCUAACUUUAUAUAUGAAGAUCUGGUAGACACUGGCCACUCGAGUCUGAAGACCUAUAAAGCAUAGGUCCCUAAAAGACCCUUAAACCCCGAAAAGGAUAAUUAAACCUCAUAAUAGAUCCUCAGAGGGAUACUUAAACCCCCCUAAAAGACCCUUAAACUUCCCUAAAAGACCAUUAAAACCCCUUAAAAGACCCUUAAACACCUCUUACAGACCCUUAAGCCCCCCUUAAAGACUAUGACCGUCAUCAGGCUCCAUAAGGGCUUCCGGGGGUUUAUCAAGGACCUGAUCAACCCUGAUACUCUGAUCUUCAAGCUCAUCUACUUCCUCUAUCUAGCAGGAGUGGUGAUAAUAUGGCCGCAACUGACGAUUCACCAGCAAGCUUUAGGCCUGACCACUUCCCAGACUGGCGUCUUCAGUAUGGUGAUAUCUGGGAUCACUGUUAUCAUGCCCAUAUUUGCUGGCAUCAUUGGGGACAAACUGGGCAGCUACAAGGUGGGUAUAUGUGGGAUUCUGUUGGG